GACGAACGCUGGCGGCGUGCUUAACACAUGCAAGUCGAACGAAGUGGCGAACGGGUGAGUAACGCGUAAUCAACCUGCCCUUCAGAGGGUGACAACAGUUGGAAACGACUGCUAAUACCGCAUAAUGAAGGUGGGGAUUGCGUCGGAUUAGCUAGGUGGGGGGGUAACGGCCCCCCAGGGCGAUGAUCAGUAGCCUGUCUGAGAGGAUGAACGGCCACAUUGGUACGGAGACACGGCCCAGACUCCUACGGGAGGCAGCAGUUGGGAAUCUUCCGCAAUGGACGAAAGUCUGACGGAGCAACGCCGCGUGAGGGAUGACGGCUUUCGGGUUGUAAAGCUCUGUUAAUCGGGACGCGGUACCGGAAUAGAAAGCCACGGCUAACUACGUGCCAGCAGCCGCGGUAAUAC
Molecule: ribosomal RNA, 408 nt
Filed under: uncultured bacterium
Lineage: Bacteria
Description: partial 16S ribosomal RNA
Rfam family: Bacterial small subunit ribosomal RNA
Source: RNAcentral